Molecule: non-coding RNA, 45 nt
Organism: Schistosoma mattheei
Lineage: Eukaryota; Metazoa; Platyhelminthes; Trematoda; Strigeidida; Schistosomatidae
Source: Rfam
AUCCAUCUGAUGAGUCCCAAAUAGGUCGAAACGCGUAUCAUGGAU